RNAcentral lists this long non-coding RNA (213 nucleotides) under Hordeum vulgare. Its description in RNAcentral is "long non-coding RNA (HVUL_LNC017884)". Lineage: Eukaryota; Viridiplantae; Streptophyta; Magnoliopsida; Poales; Poaceae. The record is from RNAcentral.
GGCGGAGGAGGAGGAGGACGAGGGGGGAUCCGGUGGAACUUCCGGUCUCGCGGGCGCCGCCGCUGCUGGAGGAGUUCUGGGAGGUGGCCCGCCCUGUCCGUCGGUGGGGGAAGACGUCGACGGCGCACCGACGUGCCCCAUCUGCCCGGCGGGCUCCUCCCUCGCGGGCCUGCGUCUCUCGCCCCUCUCUUGCUGCUGCUCGGCCCGCUGCGC